AAUGAAGAACGUAGCGAAAUGCGAUACGUAGUGUGAAUUGCAGAAUUCAGUGAAUCAUCGAAUCUUUGAACGCACAUUGCACCUCUCGGUAUUCCGGGAGGUAUGCCUGUUCGAGCGUCAUUUGUACCCUCAAGCUCUGCUUGGUGUUGGGUGUUUGUUCCGCCUCUGUGUGUGAACUCGCCUCAAAACAAUUGGCAGCCGGCGUACUUGUUUCGGAGCGCAGCACAUUUUGCGAUCCAGAUCAACGUACAGCGGCAUCCAAGAAGCCUUAUUUAACGCUCUUGACCUCGGAUCAGGUAGGGAUACCCGCUGAACUUAAGCAUAUCAAUAAGCGGAGGA
RNAcentral lists this unclassified non-coding RNA (339 nucleotides) under soil metagenome. Its description in RNAcentral is "partial contains 5.8S ribosomal RNA, internal transcribed spacer 2, and large subunit ribosomal RNA". The stretch from base 2 to 120 matches the Rfam family "5.8S ribosomal RNA", at positions 36 to 154 of the family's 154-position model. The record is from RNAcentral.